Molecule: transfer RNA, 67 nt
Filed under: Mus caroli (Ryukyu mouse)
Lineage: Eukaryota; Metazoa; Chordata; Mammalia; Rodentia; Muridae
Description: tRNA-Thr
Source: RNAcentral
GUCUUGAUAGUAUAAGCAUUACCCUGGUCUUGUAAACCUGAAAUGAAGAAUUACUCUUCUCAAGACA